UGAGUACGAGAUGCUACGGCAUCGAAGCAGUCUAUGUCAUACUUCCAAGAAAAGCUUGCACUGUCAGAAACAGAUAAUGCCUGUACCAUAACCGACACAGGUGGGUAGGUAGAGUAUACUAAGGGGCGCGAGAUAACUCUCUCUAAGGAACUCGGCAAAAUGACUCCGUAACUUCGGGAGAAGGAGUGCCUUAUUUUAAGGUUGCAAUAACAAGAUCCAAGCAACUGUUUACCAAAAACACAGGUCUCCGCUAAGUCGUAAGACGAUGUAUGGGGGCUGACGCCUGCCCAGUGCCAGAAGGUUAAAGAAGUCGGUUAGCAUUCGCGAAGCUGGUAACUGAAGCCCUGGUGAACGGCGGCCGUAACAAUAACGGUCCUAAGGUAGCGAAAUUCCUUGUCGGGUAAGUUCCGACCCGCACGAAAGGCGUAAUGAUUUGGAUACUGUCUCGGAGAGGGGCUCGGUGAAAUAGACUUGUCUGUGAAGAUGCGGACUACCUGCACCUGGACAGAAAGACCCUAUGAAGCUUUACUGUAACUUGAAAUUGAAAUUGGACUUUAUUUGCGCAGUAUAGGUGGGAGGCGUUGAAAAUAUUCUUGCGGGAAUAUUGGAGCCAUCAGUGAGAUACCACUCUUGUAAUGUUAGAUUUCUAACUUUAUAUCAUUAUCUGGUUAAAGAACAGUUUCAGGCGGGCAGUUUGACUGGGGCGGUCGCCUCCCAAAUGGUAACGGAGGCGCACAAAGGUUUCCUCUGAACGGGUAGAAAUCGUAUCUAGAGUGUAAAGGCAUAAGGAAGCUUGACUGUGAGACCUACAAGUCGAGCAGGGACGAAAGUCGGUCUUAGUGAUCUGACGGUGCUGAGUGGAAAGGCCGUCACUCAACGGAUAAAAGUUACUCUAAGGAUAACAGGCUGAUCUCCCCCAAGAGUUCACAUCGACGGGGAGGUUUGGCACCUCGAUGUCGGCUCAUCGCAUCCUGGGGCGGUAGUACGUCCCAAGGGUUGGGCUGUUCGCCCAUGAAAGCGGUACGCGAGCUGGGUUCAGAACGUCGUGAGACAGUUCGGUCCAUAUCCGGUGUAGGCGUUAGAAUAUUGAGAGGAGCCUUCUUUAGUACGAGAGGACCGAGAAGGACAUACCUCUGGUGUACCAGUUAUCGUGCCAACGGUAAACGCUGGGUAGCUAUGUAUGGAGUGGAUAACCGCUGAAAGCAUCUAAGUGGGAAGCCCACCUCAAGAUAAGUAUUCUCA
RNAcentral lists this ribosomal RNA (1242 nucleotides) under metagenome. RNAcentral's name for it is "bacterial LSU rRNA". It matches the Rfam family "Bacterial large subunit ribosomal RNA", at positions 1564 to 2816 of the family's 2925-position model. The record is from RNAcentral.